This 307-nucleotide long non-coding RNA is filed under the name Monodelphis domestica (gray short-tailed opossum). RNAcentral describes it as "lncRNA (ENSMODG00000037061.1)". Lineage: Eukaryota; Metazoa; Chordata; Mammalia; Didelphimorphia; Didelphidae. The record is from RNAcentral.
UUAACAUCCCAGGUAAAGAGAAUAAAGUGUUUUAAAAAUAACUAACACAGAUAUAUUUUUGUCUCCUCUCUGAAGAGCUGAUAACUGGAUCGCUGACUCUAACCCUAACUUUAAGCAAGUCUAUCUCUUUAUAGAGUCUACCAAAAGAACUGAAACUUAAGCAUCUGAACUUUAAACUAAAAGAGAUGAUGGAGCCCAAACCCCUUCUCAUCAGGAAAAGUUGGAACACCCUUGAGUUUUGAGAGUGAGGAGCAUAGAAGAAAUAGAAUUGUAAUUUUCUUCUUGAGCUGCUUUGAGUCCACUACCU